This is a long non-coding RNA of Sander lucioperca (pikeperch), 323 nucleotides long. RefSeq lists it as uncharacterized. The transcript is spliced from 3 exons. The record is from RefSeq and is a predicted model, not a curated record. Lineage: Eukaryota; Metazoa; Chordata; Actinopteri; Perciformes; Percidae.
AAAAAGCAUCUUCAGAAUAAGCUGUUGUUCUUCAUGUUCCACACUGACCGCCAGUAUGAUUAUACAACAAGAAAAUACUAGUGGUGUCACGAUUCGAUCUGACUUUUUUUAACAGGGACGGCAAUGCCACAAUAAGAGCCGCGAGAUAACAGAAGGGUACUUUCUACUACAACAAUUUAAGUUUCUCAGAGUCCCGUCGGAGCCCACAGACUUAACCUUCGUUGUUUGUUUUCAUAACUCACUCUCAGGGAAGGCUAAAUGUUGCCACACGGUGACUUCAGGGAAGCUGGAGGACUUUCCAGUUCUGUUUAGGGUUUUUGGCA